AGCAUGAGGCCCAGCCUGCAGAGAGCCAGAGAAAGAUUCUGAUGUGAUGGAGCAAGUGACAUGAUUUGCAGGUGCUUUUGUGGAGCAUUUCGUGGCUUGGCGACUUAUCCAGGAGUGUCUGAAAACAACCAUUUCAAAAUAAUCCUUCCAGAGGAAAAAUUUCACGGGAUCCCAGCCCUAGACAAAGAGCUACAGGCGACUCAUGACUGCUGGGAGAAGGAGAGCUAGUUUCUUGUGGAUUGUCUUAUGCAGAAUGACACUGAUGUGGCAUCUGUUGAGAUGAGAUCAUAGAUAUGAGAGGAGGAAGAAAGCUAAGUGAGAAAAGUCCUCCUCAUGUUGUAGUAACAGCCUGGAGACAGAAUAUUAAAAGCUCGGAUUAUCAUCCUCAUUGGACGUGAAGACCUGCCACUGCCUCAUUGAAGCUGUUAAUGGAUCUGGGGACUGAUCUGUACGCAUGACAUAUUAACAAUUUGGAUGCAGGAUUUUUGAUAUGGAUUGAAAAGCAAAGGUUUCUACAUUAACUCUGAACUUCGGGACACCGCACAGUGUCGAAGAGAGAAGUUGCAGUGACAGUGACACAGAAAUGAAAUGAAUUAAAAUUGUCACUGACAAUAAAGCUGGAAGCGACAGUAGGCAGGAAAGGCUUGUCCCUGAAAACCUUACAGCUUCGCCGCCGACGCUGGAGGGAGCGGUAAUUGAAGGUAGUUAUAGACCCGGAAAAAGAAGAAGAAGAAGAAAAGCAAUAAUGUGGAAGUCAUACCCUGUCUGGAUGGGAGGGCUAUUAUUUGGUUUAAAACUGCAGAAUGCAUUUAUGACUUCGGCGGAAGACAGAUACUGACCUUGAUGUGGUACAGAUUUGAAAUGGGAUUGGAGAGCCUGGAUGUCGGGUUGUCACUACAGCAUGAAGGGCACCCGUAUAAGAUUGUUCUUGCACCAAACAGGUGGAGUGUGAGGUUCCAUUUGUUCGAGGGCUGAGCACCUGCAGACACUUGUGUCGUAGGUCUAGACUCUAAAAGCUAGAAGAGAGAAUUUCUCCUUAGAGAGUGCAUGCAUAUGCAGGUGUGCCACUGUGCAUUAAGGGGAAAGCUGGGUAUGGAAUGAGGAGUAAGAAAUUUGUGUGUGUGUGUGUGUGUGUGUGUGUGUGUGUGUGUGUGUGUGUGUGUAUGUGUGUAUAUGUGUGUGUGUGUACGUGUGUGUAUAUAUGUGUGUGUGUGUGUGUAUGUGUGUGUGUGUGUACGUGUGUGUAUAUAUGUGUGUGUGUGUGUGUAUGUGUGUGUGUGUGUACGUGUGUGUAUAUAUGUGUGUGUGUAUAUGUGUAUAUGUGUGUGUGUGUGUGUGUGUGUUCAUCCCACAGUGUCCAUGUGGUAGUCAGAGGCCCAUGCCAUUGUCAGUUCUUCCCUUCUACCAUGUGGGUCCUGAAGAUUGAAUUCACGUCAGCACGCUUGAAAGCAGGAACUUUUACCACGGAGACUGCACAUAGUCCAUGGCUCUCCCCUUGCUGCUUAUGUUGCCUGAGUUUUUAUCCUUCCUACUUCUCUUUUCAGACUGCCAUCAAGCACAGGUACAGGAUGAAGUGAGAGCAAAAAACUACUACUCUGUCGGUAUCAAUCACCAUAUCAAGUUCUUCCCACUACACUGGACCAUCUAAAGGGAAUGUGGACUUUUCUGCUAAUGCUGUAGAGUUAUUUCUCAUGGAGGUAUUUGGUGUUAGUGAUUAUCAGAACACUGGGCAAAACUAUAAAGAUGGCGCAAUUUAAAUCUUCGUUAUUUCUCUAUGAACUUCUGGUUUCCUCUUUGACCUGCUUUCCAGAGAUCCUGGUCAGAACAUCACCACGACACUGGAGAGGUAGGGUACCCCAGAGGAAAUGCAACAGGAAAGGUGUUUCUGUCAGGGUAUCCUCUUCUGUGAUAAAACACCAUGACCAAAAGCAAUGUGAGGAGGAAAGGGUUUAUUUCAGUUUAUAACUUUCAGGUCACAGUUUAUCACUGAGUGAAGUCAGAAGAGCAGGCAGAGGUUGAUGCUGAGGCCAUGGAGGAAGCCUACUAAUUGACUUCUCCUCAUGGUAUGUUUAUCCUGUUUUCUUAUAGGAUAAGAAAAUUAUUUUUUAUUUAUAUUAUUCAAAUUAUUAUUUAUAUAUAUUAUUCUUAUAGCACCUACUACUACACACCCAAUGGUGAUACUGCCCCCCUGUGAGACGGGUCCAACACCAUCAAUCAAUCAAGGAAAAAAACCAAACCAAACCAAACCAACCAAUUAACCAACCAAACAAACAAGGAAACAAACCCCACAGCCUUACCACAGGCCAAAAUGGUGGGGAAAUUUUCUCAAUUGAGAAUCCUUCUUACCAAAUGACCAUGGCAAGUUUACAUGAAAACUAGCCAGCACAGAAGUCACCAAGCAAGUGAGAGAUUUUAAGAGUUAUGUUAAGGAUAGACACCUCAUCCUACAAUUUUGACUCCAGCCACAAUCCAUUCCAACUUACAUAAAGUUACUGUGUUGUGUGCUCCUUGUAUGAUAUGGUACAUGUGAAUGUACUUGAUAUUCUGCAUAUCAUGUGUCUAGAAUCUUAGAUCAUAAAAGGCUAUCCUGUGAUGAGACACCAUGAACACGUAGAAGAAAGAGUUGAUUUGGACUUAGGGUUUCAGGGGGUCCAUAACCAUCACAGUGAGGAAUGUGGCAGCAGGAUUCUGGCUGGAGCAGUAGCUGAAAGAUUACAUGUUGGCCCACAAUACUAAGGCAGAGAGGAUUAACUGGGACUACCCGGGAUUUUGAAAUCUCAAAGCCAGCCCAAAGUGGCAUACCUCCUCCUAUAAGGUCAUACCACUUAAUCCUUCCCAAACAGUUGACAGUUCUACUACCUGAGAAACAAGUAUUAAAAUAUAUGUGUCUGUAGAUGCUGUUCUCAUUCAAGCCACCACAGAAGAUGGAAGAUUUAUGGUCAUCAACUGUUGGUCUAGAAUAACUGGAUGAAUAAUCAUGGAACUAGAUGAUAUAUGGAUAUAACAAAAGGAAGAAGUUUGGAGAGAAACAAGAUGAGCUCCACUUUAGAUAUGAUUUUGAAAGUACUAUAAAGUUUCAUAGUAGAAUUAUCUAGUAGCAUGGGGCUAGAACAAUAGCCCAUUGGUGAAGAAUAUCAGAACAUGCGCUGCUGUUGCAGAUCUAAAUUCAUUUUCUAGUACUCAUGUCAGGCAGCUCAUAAGCACAUUUAACUCCAACUCCAGGAAAUCAAAUUCCCUCUUGAGGACUUCACAGGCACCUGAAUUCAUGUGUGCACAAACAUGAACAGACAUAAUUAAAAAUAAGAUACUUUAAUAUGAGUUAUCCAGUAGUUAACUAACAUAUAAAAGUGAAUUUAGAAGCAAGAGAAGUUAUAUGAAUUUUGAGAAAUAUAUUUCAGAUCUUUACUUGGCAUGUAUAUAUUUGAUUUUGAAUCACACAUAACAUGAUUUUAUAAUAAAAUAUAUCUUUGUAUUAAAAAUAAAGGGGGUGUCUCAUGAGGAUGAUGAGGACAGACCUGUUCACCAAUAUGAGACCAGUGUAUGAGAGCUGAGUAAAGAAAAAAAUGGGCGUUUUCUCUAUGGUGCUUCUGUCGGAGGGGUAGAUAGAUGAGCAGACAUCAUUCAGCAGUGGUUAGAUGGGUUGUGCUGGAUAGUUUUUUAUCUCAACUUGACAUAAGGUAGAGUUAUCUGAAAGGAGAGAGGCUCAAUUGAGAAAAGCCUUCCAUAAGAGCAGGCUAGAGAGCAUUCUUCUUAAUUAAUGACUGAUGGGGGAGGACCCUGCCUAUUUUGGCUGGGGCCAUCCCUGGGCUUGUCAUCCUGGGUUCUGUAAGAAAUCCAGCCUAGCAAGCUAUGACUUCCUUCAAUGAUGAAUAGUGAUAUGGAAGUGCAAGCCAAGUAAACCCUCCCCAGCCCUGCCCAAGUUGCUUUGGUCAUGGUGUUUUGUCACAACAAUAGUAACCCUAACUUAGAGAUAUUUUCACAAUCAUAUCUCUGCCUCUCUGUGUAUGAUAUAAAGUAAGGUAUUGGAGGUGUUUUUCCAGGCUGUGACAGUUUUUCUUAAUGUAGCCCAGUUCUGCCACAGGACUGAUAGCACAUUAGAGACUCAAUAAACUUUGAAUGGGUAAACACAAAGGAACUCUAGGUUGGGAGGGUACCAUGGUGCCAGAGCUGGUGGAGGGAGCAGGCACUACUGUGCUGCUGUGGCUGGCCUGAAAGUUUCUCUUAUAAGGUAAGGCAUCAAUGGAAACAGUCUAGGAGAGGAAAACUAACAACAGUAUCAAUAUCAUCAACAAUGGCAUUGUGAGUUUACUGUUUGCCAAUUGUUGUUGUAAAAAGCUUGCAUACAUCAUCAUAAUUCAUUAGUGUAUCAACUCUAUGAUGCAGAAAAUUGGUCUGAACAGAAAAUGCCUGGAGCCUAGUUCUUUGAAGUGGGACGUUUAGGUGGAGGCUUAGUGGGGGAGCAUGAUUUGUAGAACUUGGAACAGAGACUAUAUGUCAAGUUAGAAAUGGAUUUGUUUAUUCCAAGGUUUAGCCUCGAGGUCCAAGUUAAGGAACCAGAACUACUAGCUGUAGAGACAGAUCUGAUGUUUGGGAUGUGAGUUGGACUCUAGAGUUGUAGAACUUCUGCCUGGUACUUGAUCUUUCCCUUUAUACCUCUAGGCAUGCCUCUCUCUACAGCAAUCUCUCUAUAGAGAUUACAUUCACCUAUCCAAUAUUGUAAAUGAUCAUCAGUAGCACCUAUGGAGCUCAUGAAGCUGAAAGCAGGGCUUUAUCUCAGGCCAAUAAGGUAAGAACCUGCUGUGGGAUGUUCUGUAUGGCAAAUGUGUUGCUGAUUAGUCAUUAAAUAAAACACUGAUUGGCCAUUGGCUAGGCAGGAAGUGUAGGCGGGACAAGGAGGAGAAUAAAGCUGGGAAGUGGAAGGCUGAGUCAGAGAGACACUGCCAGCCGCCAUCAGGACAAGGAAGAUGUAAAGUACCGGUAAGCCACAAGCCACGUGGCAAGGUAUAGAUUAAUAGAAAUGGAUUAAUUUAAGCUGUAAGAACAGUUAGCAAGAAGCCUGCCACGGCCAUACAGUUUGUAACCAAUAUAAGUCUCUGUGUUUACUUGAUUGGGUUUAAGCGGCUUGGGACUGGCGGGUGAGAGAGAUUUGUCCUGACUGUGGGCCAGCCAGGAAAACUCUAGCAACAAAUGGCGUCCAACGUGGGGCAAGAGUUUCCACCUAAAAACUGAGAAAAAGGAUUCUAAAACGGAGCUAAAAACAGUUCCUAAUUGUCUCUCUCAAAUGAGCGGCAGCUGCUGGUUUGAGCUACUGGUGGGUUCCUUGCAUGCGAGCUCAACCUGCCAUAUGGCGGGAGUGGGGCCUUUGCAAGUGGCACUUUGAGCUGCGUGGUGGAUUUAGCCUUUGCUGGUGCAGAGCAACAGGGGAGGUUUCUGGACUACACGCUGUUUGGAUAAAAGCAUAGACCCACAUAGCUCCCAGAGCUGGUGGUAAACGUAGCCAUGUUGGGAAGCUGAGGUGGGCGGAGCCAGCAGCCACAGCUGCUGCAGUUUAAGGCAAUAGAUUCACAGUAAGACAGAUUCAGAUGUAAUAGUUUAAAGUGUGUGUAAAAUAUAUGUAGGCUUGAAAGAGACAAAAAAUGUGAUAUAUAAAGUUAUAUAAACAAAUACAUAGUUUUAAAAAUAAAGUCUUUAAAGAGACAGUAAUAUUAAUAUAAAAAAUAAGCCACGUAAAGAUGAGUAUUACACAGAGAAUCUGGAUUGUGUUGUCUUUGGGACUUUUAACUGCAGAAAAACAUUUGAUUGUAAAAGCUGUUGAGUUAUGUCAAAAUGUAUACUUUAAAGGUACCUUGACUUCAAAAUUUGGAUGUAAGGAUAUGUUGCUUUGGAAAAGAGUCUCUUUUGUUUCCACAGAAAACAAGAGGCUAUGGAUUUGUUCCAGAGUAAGAUACAUCAGGUUUGACCAGCCAAGACUACCUGAAAGGUCUCUGAUGACACCAUGGCCCAGAUGAUCCAACAUCCAGAACCGUUUCAAGGCAACUGGCUCAGACGAUACACCCUCAUGGACUAUUCCAUAAUCCUAAAAUUUUCUUUGUUUCCCCAUAAGAUACAGCGUCCCCCUCCAGCAGGAAGUAGUAAGAGAAGCUACGCCCAAAUUCCCAAAUUAUAUGUAAUUUUACUUUGUUAAGGUUAAAACCUUCCUUUUUGAAAAAAAAAAAAAAAAAGGAAGUGCUGUGGGAUGUUCUGUAUGGCAAAUGUGUUGCUGAUUAGUCAUUAAAUAAAACACUGAUUGGCCAUUGGCUAGGCAGGAAGUGUAGGCGGGACAAGGAGGAGAAUAAAGCUGGGAAGUGGAAGGCUGAGUCAGAGAGACACUGCCAGCCGCCAUCAGGACAAGGAAGAUGUAAAGUACCGGUAAGCCACAAGCCACAUGGCAAGGUAUAGAUUAAUAGAAAUGGAUUAAUUUAAGCUGUAAGAACAGUUAGCAAGAAGCCUGCCACGGCCAUACAGUUUGUAACCAAUAUAAGUCUCUGUGUUUACUUGAUUGGGUUUAAGCGGCUUGGGACUGGCGGGUGAG
Long non-coding RNA from Peromyscus californicus insignis, 6571 nucleotides. RefSeq lists it as uncharacterized. Lineage: Eukaryota; Metazoa; Chordata; Mammalia; Rodentia; Cricetidae. The transcript has 4 exons. The record is from RefSeq and is a predicted model, not a curated record.